UACGGGGGGAGCAAGCGUUGUUCGGAUUUACUGGGCGUAAAGGGCGCGUAGGCGGUCAGCACAAGUCAGUUGUGAAAUCUCCGGGCUUAACUCGGAAAGGUCAACUGAUACUGUGCGACUAGAGUGCAGAAGGGGCAACUGGAAUUCUCGGUGUAGCGGUGAAAUGCGUAGAUAUCGAGAGGAACACCUGCGGCGAAGGCGGGUUGCUGGGCUGACACUGACGCUGAGGCGCGAAAGUGUGGGGAUCAAACAGG
Molecule: ribosomal RNA, 254 nt
Filed under: uncultured bacterium
Lineage: Bacteria
Description: partial 16S ribosomal RNA
Rfam family: Bacterial small subunit ribosomal RNA
Source: RNAcentral